Molecule: ribosomal RNA, 441 nt
Filed under: uncultured bacterium
Lineage: Bacteria
Description: partial 16S ribosomal RNA
Rfam family: Bacterial small subunit ribosomal RNA
Source: RNAcentral
CUACGGGUGGCUGCAGUGGGGAAUAUUGCACAAUGGGCGAAAGCCUGAUGCAGCGACGCCGCGUGAGUGAAGAAGUAUUUCGGUAUGUAAAGCUCUAUCAGCAGGGAAGAAGAAAUGACGGUACCUGACUAAGAAGCACCGGCUAAAUACGUGCCAGCAGCCGCGGUAAUACGUAUGGUGCAAGCGUUAUCCGGAUUUACUGGGUGUAAAGGGAGCGCAGGCGGCGCGGCAAGUCUGAUGUGAAAGCCCGGGGCUCAACCCCGGGACUACAUUGGAAACUGUCGUGCUAGAGUGUCGGAGAGGUAAGUGGAAUUCCUAGUGUAGCGGUGAAAUGCGUAGAUAUUAGGAGGAACACCAGUGGCGAAGGCGGCUUACUGGACGAUAACUGACGCUGAGGCUCGAAAGCGUGGGGAGCAAACAGGAUUAGAUACCCCCGUAGUC